UGGGGAAUAUUGGGCAAUGGGCGCAAGCCUGACCCAGCAACGCCGCGUGAAGGAAGAAGGCUUUCGGGUUGUAAACUUCUUUUCUCAGGGACGAAGCAAGUGACGGUACCUGAGGAAUAAGCCACGGCUAACUACGUGCCAGCAGCCGCGGUAAUACGUAGGUGGCAAGCGUUAUCCGGAUUUACUGGGUGUAAAGGGCGUGUAGGCGGGACUGCAAGUCAGAUGUGAAAACCAUGGGCUCAACCUGUGGCCUGCAUUUGAAACUGUAGUUCUUGAGUACUGGAGAGGCAGACGGAAUUCCUAGUGUAGCGGUGAAAUGCGUAGAUAUUAGGAGGAACACCAGUGGCGAAGGCGGUCUGCUGGACAGCAACUGACGCUGGGGCGCGAAAGCGUGGGGAGCAAACAGGAUUAGAUACCC
Molecule: ribosomal RNA, 418 nt
Filed under: uncultured bacterium
Lineage: Bacteria
Description: bacterial SSU rRNA
Rfam family: Bacterial small subunit ribosomal RNA
Source: RNAcentral